RNAcentral lists this ribosomal RNA (253 nucleotides) under uncultured bacterium. RNAcentral describes it as "partial 16S ribosomal RNA". It matches the Rfam family "Bacterial small subunit ribosomal RNA", at positions 524 to 776 of the family's 1533-position model. The record is from RNAcentral.
UACAGAGGUCUCAAGCGUUGUUCGGAUUCAUUGGGCGUAAAGGGUGUGUAGGUGGCGCCGUAAGUCGGGUGUGAAAUUUCGGAGCUUAACUCCGAAACUGCAUUCGAUACUGCGGUGCUUGAGGACUGGAGAGGAGACUGGAAUUCAUGGUGUAGCAGUGAAAUGCGUAGAGAUCAUGAGGAAGACCAGUGGCGAAGGCGGUUCUCUGGGCAUUACCUGACGCUGAGGAGCGAAAGUGUGGGGAGCGAACAGG